This 497-nucleotide ribosomal RNA is filed under the name uncultured bacterium. Its description in RNAcentral is "partial 16S ribosomal RNA". It matches the Rfam family "Bacterial small subunit ribosomal RNA", at positions 28 to 507 of the family's 1533-position model. The record is from RNAcentral.
GAUGAACGCUGGCGGCGUGCCUAAUACAUGCAAGUCGAGCGAACAGACGAGGAGCUUGCUCCUCUGACGUUAGCGGCGGACGGGUGAGUAACACGUGGAUAACCUACCUAUAUGACUGGGAUAACUUCGGGAAACCGGAGCUAAUACCGGAUAAUAUAUUGAACCGCAUGGUUCAAUAGUGAAAGACGGUUUUGCUGUCACUUAUAGAUGGAUCCGCGCCGCAUUAGCUAGUUGGUAAGGUAACGGCUUACCAAGGCAACGAUGCGUAGCUGACCUGAGAGGGUGAUCGGCCACACUGGAACUGAGACACGGUCCAGACUCCUACGGGAGGCAGCAGUAGGGAAUCUUCCGCAAUGGGCGAAAGCCUGACGGAGCAACGCCGCGUGAGUGAAGAAGGUCUUCGGAUCGUAAAACUCUGUUAUUAGGGAAGAACAAAUGUGUAAGUAACUAUGCACGUCUUGACGGUACCUAAUCAGAAAGCCACGGCUAACUACGUG